GACGAACGCUGGCGGCGUGCUUAACACAUGCAAGUCGAACGGCAGCGCCCUGCUUUUGCGCUGUUCCCGAUUGGCGAACGGGUGAGUAACACGUAAGUAACCUGCCCUUCACUUUGGGAUAACUUCAGGAAACUGGGGCUAAUACCGUAUCGCAGCUCCUGCUGCGUGGAGGGGGUUGGAAAUUUGCGGCGGUUGGGGAUGGACGCGCGGCUUAUCGGCUUGUUGGUGGGGUAGUGGCUUACCAAGGCUUUGACGGGUAGCCGGCAUGAGAGGGUGACCGGCGACAUGGGGACUGAGAGACGGACCAGACUCCUACGGGGGGCAGCAGUGGGGAGUAUGGCACAAUGGGCGGAAGCCUGAUGCAGCAACGCUGGGGGCGGGAUGACGGCCUGCGGGGUGUGAAACGCUUUAGCUUGUGACGAAGCGUGAGUGACGGUAAUGGGUAAAGAAGCACCGGCUAACUACGUG
Molecule: ribosomal RNA, 468 nt
Filed under: uncultured bacterium
Lineage: Bacteria
Description: partial 16S ribosomal RNA
Rfam family: Bacterial small subunit ribosomal RNA
Source: RNAcentral